RNAcentral lists this non-coding RNA (30 nucleotides) under Mus musculus (house mouse). The record is from RNAcentral. Lineage: Eukaryota; Metazoa; Chordata; Mammalia; Rodentia; Muridae.
UGAGUUUGAGAUGAUUUAGUGCCCCAAUGU